AGAGUUUGAUCAUGGCUCAGAAUGAACGCUGGCGGCGCGCCUAAUACAUGCAAGUCGAGCGAGAAGACGUAGCAAUACGUUUGUAAAGCGGCGAACGGGUGAGGAAUACAUGGGUAACCUACCCUAGAGUGGGGAAUAACUAGCCGAAAGGUUAGCUAAUACCGCGUACGCUUCUUGGACUUCGGUUCAGGGAGGAAAGCGCUACCGAGGGUAGCGCGCUCUUGGAUGGGCUCAUGUCCUAUCAGCUUGUUGGUGAGGUAAUGGCUCACCAAGGCUUCGACGGGUAGCUGGUCUGAGAGGACGAUCAGCCACACUGGCACUGCGACACGGGCCAGACUCCUACGGGAGGCAGCAGUAAGGAAUAUUGCGCAAUGGGCGAAAGCCUGACGCAGCGACGCCGCGUGGGGGAUGAAGGUCUUCGGAUUGUAAACCCCUUUCAGGAGGGAAGAUGGAAUGGGGUAACCCAUUCGGACGGUACCUCCAGAAGCAGCCACGGCUAACUUCGUGCCAGCAGCCGCGGUAAUACGAAGGUGGCAAGCGUUAUUCGGAUUUACUGGGCGUACAGGGAGCGUAGGCGGUUUGGUAAGCCCUCUGUGAAAUCUCCAGGCUUAACCUGGAAAAGUCUGAGGGGACUGCUGGGCUAGAGGACGGGAGAGGAGCGCGGUUGUCACGAUGUAACUGUGUCUUGCGUCGUUCUUUUAUUCGUAGGACUUCUC
This 716-nucleotide ribosomal RNA is filed under the name uncultured bacterium. Its description in RNAcentral is "bacterial SSU rRNA". It matches the Rfam family "Bacterial small subunit ribosomal RNA", at positions 8 to 712 of the family's 1533-position model. The record is from RNAcentral.